GCGGGAAUAGCUCAGUUGGUAGAGCACGACCUUGCCAAGGUCGGGGUCGCGAGUUCGAGUCUCGUUACCUUGCCA
This 75-nucleotide transfer RNA is filed under the name Escherichia coli. RNAcentral's name for it is "tRNA-Gly". The stretch from base 4 to 69 matches the Rfam family "tRNA". From Rfam's summary of the family: Transfer RNA (tRNA) molecules are approximately 80 nucleotides in length. Their secondary structure includes four short double-helical elements and three loops (D, anti-codon, and T loops). The record is from RNAcentral. Lineage: Bacteria; Pseudomonadati; Pseudomonadota; Gammaproteobacteria; Enterobacterales; Enterobacteriaceae.